CGCGGCCUAUCAGCUUGUUGGUGGGGUGAUGGCCUACCAAGGCGACGACGGGUAGCCGGCCUGAGAGGGUGUCCGGCCACACUGGGACUGAGAUACGGCCCAGACUCCUACGGGAGGCAGCAGUGGGGAAUAUUGCACAAUGGGCGCAAGCCUGAUGCAGCGACGCCGCGUGGGGGAUGACGGCCUUCGGGUUGUAAACCCCUUUCAGCACAGACGAAGCGCAAGUGACGGUAUGUGCAGAAGAAGCACCGGCCAACUACGUGCCAGCAGCCGCGGUAAUACGUAGGGUGCGAGCGUUGUCCGGAAUUACUGGGCGUAAAGAGCUCGUAGGUGGUUUGUCGCGUUGUUCGUGAAAACUCACAGCUCAACUGUGGGCGUGCGGGCGAUACGGGCAGACUGGAGUACUGCAGGGGAGACUGGAAUUCCUGGUGUAGCGGUGGAAUGCGCAGAUAUCAGGAGGAACACCGGUGGCGAAGGCGGGUCUCUGGGCAGUAACUGACGCUGAGGAGCGAAAGCGUGGGGAGCGAACAGGAUUAGAUACCCUGGUAGUCCACGCCGUAAACGGUGGGUACUAGGUGUGGGUUUCCUUCCUUGGGAUCCGUGCCGUAGCUAACGCAUUAA
Molecule: ribosomal RNA, 621 nt
Filed under: uncultured bacterium
Lineage: Bacteria
Description: bacterial SSU rRNA
Rfam family: Bacterial small subunit ribosomal RNA
Source: RNAcentral